CAACCUCAACUCAUAUGGGACUACCCCCUGAAUUUAAGCAUAUUAAUUAGGGGAGGAAAAGAAACUAACAAGGAUUUUCUUAGUAGCGGCGAGCGAAAAGAAAUCAGUUCAGCACUAAGUCACUUUGUCUAUAUGGCAAAUGUGAGAUGCAGUGUAUGGAGCGUCAAUAUUCUAGUAUGAGAAAUUAACGAUUUAAGUCCUUCUUAAAUGAGGCCAUUUACCCAUAGAGGGUGCCAGGCCCGUAUAACGUUAAUGAUUACUAGAUGAUGUUUCCAAAGAGUCGUGUUGCUUGAUAGUGCAGCACUAAGUGGGUGGUAAACUCCAUCUAAAACUAAAUAUAACCAUGAGACCGAUAGUAAACAAGUACCGUGAGGGAAAGUUGAAAAGAACUCUGAAUAGAGAGUUAAACAGUACGUGAAACUGCUUAGAGGUUAAGCCCGAUGAACCUGAAUAUCCGUUAUGGAAAAUUCAUCAUUAAAGUUGUAAUAUUUUAACAAUAUUAUAAUAAUAGUGUGCAUUUUUUCCAUAUAAGGACAUUGUAAUCUAUUAGCAUAUACCAAAUUUAUCAUAAAAUAUGGCUUAUAGUUUAUUCAAAUUAUUAUGCUUGCAUUUUAACAUAGAAUAAAUGUCAUUAAUUUGAUAAAGUGUUGAUAAAUUAAAAUUAAUACAGUGCGUUAAUUUUUCGAAAUUAUAUAAUGGCAUAAUUAUCAUCGAUUUUUGUGUUUAUUAUAUGCAUUUGUAUGAUUAACAAUGCGAAAGAUUCAGGAUACCUUCGGGACCCGUCUUGAAACACGGACCAAGGAGUCUAACAUAUGUGCAAGUUAUUGGGAGAUAAACCUAAUAGCGUAAUUAACUUGACUAAUAAUGGGAUUAGUUUUUUAACUAUUUAUAGAUAAUUAACACAAUCCCGGGGCGUUCUAUAUAGUUAUGUAUAAUAAUAUUUAUAUUAUUUAUGCCUCUAACUGGAACGUACCUUGAGCAUAUAUGCUGUGACCCGAAAGAUGGUGAACUAUACUUGAUCAGGUUGAAGUCAGGGGAAACCCUGAUGGAAGACCGAAACAGUUCUGACGUGCAAAUCGAUUGUCAGAAUUGAGUAUAGGGGCGAAAGACCAAUCGAACCAUCUAGUAGCUGGUUCCUUCCGAAGUUUCCCUCAGGAUAGCUGGUGCAUUUUAAUGUUAUAUAAAAUAAUCUUAUCUGGUAAAGCGAAUGAUUAGAGGCCUUAGGGUCGAAACGAUCUUAACCUAUUCUCAAACUUUAAAUGGGUAAGAACCUUAACUUUCUUGAUAUGAAGUUUAAGGUUAUGAUAUAAUGUGCCCAGUGGGCCACUUUUGGUAAGCAGAACUGGCGCUGUGGGAUGAACCAAACGUAAUGUUACGGUGCCCAAAUUAACAACUCAUGCAGAAACCAUGAAAGGCGUUGGUUGCUUAAAACAGCAGGACGGUGAUCAUGGAAGUCGAAAUCCGCUAAGGAGUGUGUAACAACUCACCUGCCGAAGCAACUAGCCCUUAAAAUGGAUGGCGCUUAAGUUGUAUACCUAUACAUUACCGCUAAAGUAGAUGAUUUAUAUUACUUGUGAUAUAAAUUUUGAAACUUUAGUGAGUAGGAAGGUACAAUGGUAUGCGUAGAAGUGUUUGGCGUGAGCCUGCAUGGAGCUGCCAUUGGCACAGAUCUUGGUGGUAGUAGCAAAUAAUCGAAUGAGACCUUGGAGGACUGAAGUGGAGAAGGGUUUCGUGUGAACAGUGGUUGAUCACGAGUUAGUCGGUCCUAAGUUCAAGGCGAAAGCCGAAAAUUUUCAAGUAAAAAAUCAGUAAGCAUAUAUUGUCAAAUCUUUAAUGAUUUUUUUGAAAUACUUGAAUAAUUUUGAACGAAAGGGAAUACGGUUCCAAUUCCGUAACCUGUUGAGUAUCCGUUUGUUAUUAAAUAUGGGCCUCGUGCUCAUCCUGGCAACAGGAACGACCAUAAAGAAGCCGUCGAGAGAUAUCGGAAGAGUUUUCUUUUCUGUUUUAUAGCCGUACUACCAUGGAAGUCUUUCGCAGAGAGAUAUGGUAGAUGGGCUAGAAGAGCAUGACAUAUACUGUUGUGUCGAUAUUUUCUCCUCGGACCUUGAAAAUUUAUGGUGGGGACACGCAAACUUCUCAACAGGCCGUACCAAUAUCCGCAGCUGGUCUCCAAGGUGAAGAGUCUCUAGUCGAUAGAAUAAUGUAGGUAAGGGAAGUCGGCAAAUUAGAUCCGUAACUUCGGGAUAAGGAUUGGCUCUGAAGAUUGAGAUAGUCGGGCUUGAUUGGGAAACAAUAACAUGGUUUAUGUGCUCGUUCUGGGUAAAUAGAGUUUCUAUCAUUUAUGGUAGUUACUUGUUCCCCGGAUAGUUUAGUUACGUAGCCAAUUGUGGAACUUUCUUGCUAAAAUUUUUAAGAAUACUAGUUGGGUUAAACCAAUUAGUUCUUAUUAAUUAUAACGAUUAUCAAUUAACAAUCAAUUCAGAACUGGCACGGACUUGGGGAAUCCGACUGUCUAAUUAAAACAAAGCAUUGUGAUGGCCCUAGCGGGUGUUGACACAAUGUGAUUUCUGCCCAGUGCUCUGAAUGUCAAAGUGAAGAAAUUCAAGUAAGCGCGGGUCAACGGCGGGAGUAACUAUGACUCUCUUAAGGUAGCCAAAUGCCUCGUCAUCUAAUUAGUGACGCGCAUGAAUGGAUUAACGAGAUUCCUACUGUCCCUAUCUACUCAGUUGCUCUCUGACUGCUACUGGAAGCAGACGUGUUUUUUAAGCGCCCCGCUUUACCGUCGGUUUUCAAUCGUUAAAGAGUGAUUUUUUCCCGUGUGGAAAUUGUUUACAUUUGUCGCGAGUGUUCAGCGCUUUUGUGUAUUAAAUUACGCGUUAAUUUGGUGCCCAAUUAGUGUUGGAAUUGGCAAAUUAAAAAUUUGUUGAUUCGGCUCUGCAAAAGCCACGUGCGGCUUUAGCUCGACAACAAGUGCGUAUAGCUCGUAAACAGGUUCGAGUUCGAAGCUUCCGUUCGAAGCUUUCGUUCGAAGCUUUGGCUCGAAGCCAAGUCGAGCUACUAUCGAAGCUUGGUUGAAAACUUGGAUAGUUGCAUUUUGGUUCGUGUCUCCGCUAAGCUUUAGUGUCAGAGAGAACCGGUAGAGGGAGCCAGAGCAUGGAGGUGGACACGGAGGCCGACGCCAGCGACGCUAGCCUGGCUAGUGUUGGAGCGAGCUCGUCGUCGAGUGUCCCCGCCCGUAGGCGGCGUCGGCCGAAGAAUACUGCGGCAAAAAAGGGAGCGAAGAAGAUCGGGCUGGGGAUUGGGGUGACGGGAGAGUUGCCGAUCCCAGCCGUCAGGUCGCCGCCACCGUCGCUCCCCUUUGUGGAAGUGGUAGCCACUGCAGAACCCUCUGCCGCUGCCACUGACACCGCUGCUGCCACCGCCAACAGCGCCGCCGCCACCAACGCCGCCGCCACCACUGCUGCCACUACCACUGUCGCCGCCACCACCGCUGCCAAUACCACUGCUGCCACCGCCGCUACCGUCACCGCUGCCACAUGCCAGGCAACUGGCAUUGUUGCGGCUGGAUUUUCGGCUGUUGCUGCGGAGUUAUCGUCCAUUAGGAUGAGCGUUAGCGAGGCAGUCCUCAAUGGAGGCAUGACCCCGGAGGCCGCCAUGGCAGUCUUCGUCGCUACCAAUAGGUACGACGAGCUGGUUAUGGCUCUGGCUGGGGACAAGGUGCGCCUGGAGGAGAGGGCACGUAUGCCGCCUCCACAGAGGCCCGCUGCCGCUGCCCACGCUGCCACCACCACCGCUGUUCCCACCGCUGCGUAUGCGGCAGCCUUCCCAGGCUUGCCGGCACCGAGCGCUGUCGCCCCACCGAUCGCGAGGCCGCGCGAAACCUGGUCGGCUCUUAUUAAGAGCACGAACCCGGAGGAGACUGGGAAGCAACUAGUGGAGCGAGUGAGAAAGGACGUUGUGCCCAAACUCGGAGUCCGAGUGCACGAGGUUCGUGAGCUGAAGAGCGGAGGAGCGAUCAUUCGCACGCCUUCGGUCAGCGAGCUCAGGAAGGUAGUGGACAGCGCGAAGUUCCAGGAAGCAGGACUGGAAGUGAGGAAGAGCCCGGAGACCAGACCUCAGGUCGUGGUGUAUGACGUCGACACGUCCAUCACGCCUGAAGAGUUCAUGGAGGAGCUCUUCACUAAGAACCUGGAGGAUUCCAUGUCCGCUACGGAAUUCAAAAAGACGGUUCACCUGGGCAGCAAACCCUGGUCGGUCACCGACGGCGCCACGAUCAACGUGACGCUGGAGGUCGAUGCGAAGGCACAGGAGGUGUUACGCGACUGCGUAUACAUCAAGUGGUUCCGAUGCCGCUGUCGUUCCCUGGUCAGGACCUACGCCUGCCACAGGUGUGUGGGUUUCGACCACAAGGUGUCCCAGUGCCGCCUAAAGGAGAACGUGUGCCACCGGUGCGGACAGGGCGGCCACAACGUUUCGAGGUGCCCCAACCCGGUGGACUGCCGAAACUGCCGCUUCAAGGGCUACCCGGCAGCACAUUCCAUGUUGUCAGCGGCAUGCCCGAUUUACGCAGCGGUAUUGGCGAGGGUGCAAGCUAGACAUUAAAUGUUUAGCUUCAUCCAAGCUAAUUGUGGCCGUGGCCGAGCGGCUGUGGUGGAUCUCGGAUCCAUCAUGCGCAACUCUGGCCAUCUGUUCGCACUGGUCCAGGAGCCGUACGUCGAUAGAGCAGGGCGGAUUACUGGCCUUCCUUCGGGAAUGCGAGUAUUCCAGGACCGCCCCUUUCGUGACGGAAACCCGAAAGCUGCCAUCAUCGUCGAUGAACCGGAAGCCAUCUGCACGCCAAUAGACCCCCUUACCACCGAACAUGGAGUAUGCGUCAGAGUGCAAGGAAGAUUUGGCUCAAUCAUCCUAUGCUCCGUAUACUGCCAAUUCAACACCGACUUGGAGCCGUACCUCAGGUACCUCAAUGCGGUGCUGCUGCUGGCCAGCCGCACUCCCGUCAUCUUUGGGCUCGACGCGAACGCAGUAUCCCCAGCGUGGUUUAGCAAACUCUCCGAGCAUGCUCGGGGGCAAGCUAACUAUGCACGGGGUGAGCUGCUGUCUGAGUGGAUUACCGAGAACCGAGCCGGCGUGCUCAACGAGGCCAGUCGGGUGUUUACAUUCGAUAACCGCAGAGCCCACAGCGACAUCGAUGUAACAAUCGCCAAUCAAGCUGCGACUAUGUGGGCCACAUACGUUUGGGAAGUGAGGGAAUGGGAUACGAGCGACCACAACAUGAUCCAUGUUGAGGUGACGCGUGAUCCGACCGACACAGUUGAGAGCAUUGCUCCUGUGCCGUCCUGGAAGCUUUCCAAUGCGCGCUGGCGAUUGUUCGAGGAAGAGGUGGUAAGGGAGACAUCCGAAUUGCCGGAGGACAUCGCCGAAUCGCCGUUGGACAACCAAGUGGCUGCACUGCGCUCUGUAGUGCACAGUGUGUGCGACAGAGUGCUGGGACGCAGCACGCCCAGAGCCGCGAGGAAAGUAGUUUGGUGGACUGCCGAGCUACAUUCCAAACGCCGAGAGGUCAGGAGACUGAGGCGGCGGCUACAGGACGCUCGUCGGCACGAGUCCGACGCAGCAGAGCAACUUGUGGUUGCGUUGAGGAUCUCCUCGGCGCAAUACAAGAAGCUCAUCCUGAGGACGAAGGAGGACAACUGGCGACGCUUCGUGGGAGACAACAGAGAUGAUCCAUGGGGGCACGUCUACAAGAUUUGCCGAGGACGCAAAAAGUGCACGGAGAUUGGAUGCCUUCGGACGGAUGGUGGGCUGGUUGCAACAUGGCGCGACUGUGCGGGUGUGCUCCUCCGCAACUUUUUCCCUGUUGCGGAGUCGAAUGCGCACAUUGCCAUCACGUCCGAAGCUCCACCGGCCCUUGUGGUUUCCGAGGUUGAUGCUUGCGUCGCCAGGUUGAAGAGCAGACGCUCUCCCGGCAUGGACGGCAUCACAGGUGCCAUUUGCAAGGCAUUGUGGCGUGCCAUCCCUCAGCACAUGACAGCGUUGUAUUCCCGCUGCCUGGAGACCGGAUACUUCCCCAAGGAAUGGAAACACCCUAGGGUGGUUCCACUCUUGAAGGGACCCGAUAAGGACAGGACGGAUCCUGCUUCAUAUCGGGGUAUCUGUCUGUUGCCAGUGCUGGGCAAAGUGCUUGAGGGAAUCAUGGUGAAUCGUCUGAAGGACACCAUACCGGAUGGCUGCAGAUGGCAAUUUGGAUUUCGCCAAGGACGCUGUGUGGAGGAUGCUUGGAAGCACGUCGUGAGCACUGUUUCGGCCAGCCGGUCGAAAUAUGUGCUCGGAGUCUUCGUGGAUUUCAAGGGAGCCUUUGACAACGUCGAGUGGGAUGCUGCACUACGUCGUCUCCUCGAGCUGGGCUGCCGUGAAGCAGGCUUGUGGCGAAGCUUCUUCUCCGGCCGGAGUGCGAGCAUCGUCAGCAGGCAUGGAGUAGCCACUGUUCCGGUGACAAGAGGUUGCCCACAGGGGUCCAUAAGUGGUCCAUUCAUAUGGAACAUCUUGAUGGACGUGUUGCUCCAGCGCUUGGAGCCACUUGGAGCGCUCAGCGCGUAUGCCGACGACCUGCUCCUCCUCAUCGAGGGAAACGCCCGUUCAGAGCUCGAGCGAAAAGGAGAGGAACUAAUGUCCAUCGUAGGCGCUUGGGGAGUUGAAGUCGGCGUUGCCGUUUCAACUAGCAAGACGGCGAUCAUGCUGCUCAAGGGCAUACUUCGACGGCCGCCCUUGGUACGGUUUGCUGGAGCAAGCCUGCCAUAUAAGCGCGAAUAUCGGUACCUUGGCAUCACAGUCGGUGAGCGGUUGAGUUUUCUCCCGCACAUCACGGGCUUGCGUGAUAGGCUGACUGGAGUCGUAGGGGCAUUGUCUCGCGUACUGCGGGUCGACUGGGGUCUCAGUCCCCGCGCAAAGCGGACAAUAUAUGCCGGACUCAUGGUGCCCUGUGCACUAUUUGGUGCCUCGGUUUGGUCUGUCGUGACGACGACGCAAGUGGUUGCCAGGAGGCACCUGCUUGCGUGCCAAAGGGCUAUCCUGAUUGGAUGCCUACCGGUAUGCCGAACAGUGUCCACCGUGGCACUGCAAGUACUUGCUGGAGCCCCCCCGUUUGAUCUGGUCGCCAGACGCCUGGCAAUCAGAUUCAAACUCAAGCGUGACUACCCGCUGGAGGAGAGCGAUUGGCUAUACGGCGAAGAUUUGGCAAAUCUUAGCUGGAAGCAGAAGAUGGCGCGACUAGAGGAAUGCCUGCUGAGCGAGUGGCAACGCAGAUGGGAUGAUGGUGACUCCCCAGGUCGGGUGACGCACCGCUUCAUCCCGAACGCAGGCUUCGUCUACAGCGAGCCAAGGUUUGGCUUCACGCUGCGCGCUGGAUUCCUGCUGACUGGCCAUGGAUCGCUCAAUGCAUUUCUGCAUGAGAGAAGCCGAAGCGACACGCCUGCAUGUCUAUGCGGCGCAGAGCGCGAGGAUUGGCAACACGUUCUAUGUGUUUGUCCGCUCUAUGCAGAUUUGCGAGACCUUGAUGGACUAGGAGUGCAGCACACGGAUGGCGAAUGGAUCUUCUCGGAAGUGGUGGCUUCGCAGGAAAGAAUGCAGUUGCUGGACAGAUACGCUGGCGACGCGUUCUCCAGACGGCAACAACUGAUGGACCCAAUGGCGACAGACGGGCCGAGAGCCCCGGACUUGGAGAGUCCCCCUCAAGGGUACCCUAUCCGAGCCAGUCGGGGCUAAAAGGGGAGGGUCCACUGAGCCCUAAAGAUCGGUACCACGGGUUGUUCAGCGGUCCAAGGCUGUUCAUUGAGGUAGGCCCCCUAGUGGGAGCAUCGUGGUGGCUGUGGUAGGCUGAAUUUUACGCGGCAAGAGCCGCUAGGCUCCACGUGGAGUUGCGAUCUCAACCGGGUGCCGAGACCCAUAGAUCGGAAGAGGUGAUAGAUACACUUCGCUCCUCACCAAGGGGGAAAGUAUGCCCGACUAGUAUACUUUCGAAUUGGUACCAGGGUGGGUCGCUAUGUAUUUGCUAUAGCUUCUUAUCCUGGGGCGUAAAUUGGCGCAUGUACCAGAUUUACCGUGACAUGUGCAUUGCACUCAGCACAUUAAACACCGUGGUUGAAAUCCCUUCCUGUGGAACCGCCACGUUAAAUAAAGCUGAGAGAUCAGAUUUAUCUGUCCCUAUCUACUAUCUAGCGAAACCACAGCCAAGGGAACGGGCUUGGAAUAAUUAGCGGGGAAAGAAGACCCUUUUGAGCUUGACUCUAAUCUGGCAGUGUAAGGAGACAUAAGAGGUGUAGAAUAAGUGGGAGAUAUUAGAUUUCGGUUUGAUAUCGACAAUGAAAUACCACUACUCUUAUUGUUUCCUUACUUACUUGAUUAAAUGGAACGUGUAUCAUUUCCUAGCCAUUAUACGGAUAUAUUUAUUAUAUCUUAUGGUAUUGGGUUUUGAUGCAAGCUUCUUGAUCAAAGUAUCACGAGUUUGUUAUAUAAUCGCAAACAAAUUCUUUAAUGAGAAGAUGCAUUUAUGUGUUUUCAAUUUGAAAAUUUGGUAUAACUCCAAUUACUCAGGUAUGAUCCAAUUCAAGGACAUUGCCAGGUAGGGAGUUUGACUGGGGCGGUACAUCUCUCAAAUAAUAACGGAGGUGUCCCAAGGCCAGCUCAGUGCGGACAGAAACCACACAUAGAGCAAAAGGGCAAAUGCUGACUUGAUCUCGGUGUUCAGUACACACAGGGACAGCAAAAGCUCGGCCUAUCGAUCCUUUUGGUUUAAAGAGUUUUUAACAAGAGGUGUCAGAAAAGUUACCAUAGGGAUAACUGGCUUGUGGCGGCCAAGCGUUCAUAGCGACGUCGCUUUUUGAUCCUUCGAUGUCGGCUCUUCCUAUCAUUGUGAAGCAAAAUUCACCAAGCGUUGGAUUGUUCACCCAUGCAAGGGAACGUGAGCUGGGUUUAGACCGUCGUGAGACAGGUUAGUUUUACCCUACUAAUGACAAAACGUUGUUGCGACAGCAUUCCUGCGUAGUACGAGAGGAACCGCAGGUACGGACCAAUGGCACAAUACUUGUUCGAGCGAACAGUGGUAUGACGCUACGUCCGUUGGAUUAUGCCUGAACGCCUCUAAGGUCGUAUCCGUGCUGGACUGCAAUGAUAAAUAAGGGGCAAUUUGCAUUGUAUGGCUUCUAAACCAUUAAAAGUUUUUAAUUUACUUUAUAAACGACAAUGGAUGUGAUGCCAAUGUAAUUUGUAACAUAGUAAAUUGGGAGGAUCAUUGAUCACCUGGUGCCGCGCUAGUUACAUAUAAAAACAUUAUUUAAUACAAUGACAAAGCCUAGAAUCAAUUGUAAACGACUUUUGUAACAGGCAAGGUGUUGUAAGUGGUUGAGCAGCUGCCAUACUGCGAUCCACUGAAGCUUAUCCUUUGCUUGAUGAUUCGA
Ribosomal RNA from Drosophila obscura, 9452 nucleotides. Lineage: Eukaryota; Metazoa; Arthropoda; Insecta; Diptera; Drosophilidae. The record is from RefSeq and is a predicted model, not a curated record.